Molecule: ribosomal RNA, 253 nt
Filed under: uncultured bacterium
Lineage: Bacteria
Description: partial 16S ribosomal RNA
Rfam family: Bacterial small subunit ribosomal RNA
Source: RNAcentral
UACGUAGGGUGCGAGCGUUAAUCGGAAUUACUGGGCGUAAAGCGUGCGCAGGCGGCUUCGCAAGUCAGGCGUGAAAUCCCCGGGCUUAACCUGGGAACUGCGUUUCUAACUGGCAGGCUUGAGUGUGGCAGAGGGGGGUGGAAUUCCACGUGUAGCAGUGAAAUGCGUAGAGAUGUGGAGGAACACCGAUGGCGAAGGCAGCCCCCUGGGCUAACACUGACGCUCAUGCACGAAAGCGUGGGGAGCAAACAGG